RNAcentral lists this transfer RNA (81 nucleotides) under Pseudomonas aeruginosa. Its description in RNAcentral is "tRNA-Met". The record is from RNAcentral. Lineage: Bacteria; Pseudomonadati; Pseudomonadota; Gammaproteobacteria; Pseudomonadales; Pseudomonadaceae.
GGGCUUUUCCCAGUAGGGACUGGGUCUUUUUCUAGACUCAUAAUCCUUUGGUCCACGGUUCGAGUCCGUGUGGGCCCACCA